AUUUGAGGAAUAUCGCAACUC
RNAcentral lists this microRNA (21 nucleotides) under Ananas comosus (pineapple). RNAcentral describes it as "microRNA s0696_c90a". Lineage: Eukaryota; Viridiplantae; Streptophyta; Magnoliopsida; Poales; Bromeliaceae. The record is from RNAcentral.